GAUGAACGCUGACAGAAUGCUUAACACAUGCAAGUCUACUUGAAUUUGGGUUUUUUAACUUAGAUUUGGGUGGCGGACGGGUGAGUAACGCGUAAAGAACUUGCCUCACAGCUAGGGACAACAUUUGGAAACGAAUGCUAAUACCUGAUAUUAUGAUUUUAAGGCAUCUUAGAAUUAUGAAAGCUAUACGCGCUGUGAGAGAGCUUUGCGUCCCAUUAGCUAGUUGGAGAGGUAACGGCUCACCAAGGCGAUGAUGGGUAGCCGGCCUGAGAGGGUGAACGGCCACAAGGGGACUGAGACACGGCCCUUACUCCUACGGGAGGCAGCAGUGGGGAAUAUUGGACAAUGGACCGAGAGUCUGAUCCAGCAAUUCUGUGUGCACGAUGACGUUUUUCGGAAUGUAAAGUGCUUUCAGUUGGGAAGAAAAAAAUGACGGUACCAACAGAAGAAGUGACGGCUA
RNAcentral lists this ribosomal RNA (460 nucleotides) under Fusobacterium sp. oral taxon A11. RNAcentral describes it as "bacterial SSU rRNA". It matches the Rfam family "Bacterial small subunit ribosomal RNA", at positions 28 to 499 of the family's 1533-position model. The record is from RNAcentral. Lineage: Bacteria; Fusobacteriati; Fusobacteriota; Fusobacteriia; Fusobacteriales; Fusobacteriaceae.